CCUACGGGAGGCAGCAGUAGGGAAUAUUGCUCAAUGGGGGAAACCCUGACGCAGCAACGCCGCGUGGAGGAUGAAGGUUUUCGGAUUGUAAACUCCUUUUGUUAGAGAAGAUAAUGACGGUAUCUCACGAAUAAGCACUGUCUAACUCCGUGCCAGCAGCCGCGGUACUACGGAGGGUGCAAGCGUUACUCGGAAUCACUGGGCGUAAAGAGCGCGUAGGCGGGAUAGCAAGUCAGAUGUGAAAUCCUAUGGCUUAACCAUAGAACUGCAUUUGAAACUGUUAUUCUAGAGUAUGGGAGAGGUAGGUGGAAUUCUUGGUGUAGGGGUAAAAUCCGUAGAGAUCAAGAGGAAUACUCAUUGCGAAGGCGACCUGCUAGAACAUAACUGACGCUGAUGCGCGAAAGCGUGGGGAGCAAACAGGAUUAGAUACCCCGGUAGUC
RNAcentral lists this ribosomal RNA (440 nucleotides) under uncultured bacterium. Its description in RNAcentral is "partial 16S ribosomal RNA". It matches the Rfam family "Bacterial small subunit ribosomal RNA", at positions 338 to 795 of the family's 1533-position model. The record is from RNAcentral.